Molecule: ribosomal RNA, 254 nt
Filed under: uncultured bacterium
Lineage: Bacteria
Description: partial 16S ribosomal RNA
Rfam family: Bacterial small subunit ribosomal RNA
Source: RNAcentral
UACGUAGGGUCCAAGCGUUGUCCGGAUUUAUUGGGCGUAAAGAGCUCGUAGGCGGCUCGGUAAGUCGGAUGUGAAAACUCCAGGCUCAACCUGGAGACGCCAUUCGAUACUGCUGUGGCUUGAGUCUGGUAGGGGAGCACGGAAUUCCUGGUGUAGCGGUGAAAUGCGCAGAUAUCAGGAGGAACACCGGUGGCGAAGGCGCUGCUCUGGGCCGGUACUGACGCUGAGGAGCGAAAGCGUGGGUAGCAAACAGG